UACGUAGGUGGCAAGCGUUGUCCGGAUUUAUUGGGUUUAAAGGGUGCGUAGGCGGUCUAUUAAGUCAGUGGUGAAAUAUGGCAGCUUAACUGUCAGGGUGCCAUUGAUACUGAUGGACUUGAGUGAAGUCGAAGUAGGCGGAAUUGACGGUGUAGCGGUGAAAUGCUUAGAUAUCGUCAAGAACACCGAUAGUGAAGACAGCUUACUAGGCUUAUACUGACGCUGAGGCACGAAAGUGUGGGGAUCAAACAGGAUUAGAAACCCGGGUAGUCC
RNAcentral lists this ribosomal RNA (273 nucleotides) under uncultured bacterium. RNAcentral describes it as "partial 16S ribosomal RNA". It matches the Rfam family "Bacterial small subunit ribosomal RNA", at positions 524 to 796 of the family's 1533-position model. The record is from RNAcentral.